GCUUGGUCCAAAGGUAGUGAGUUAUCUCACUUGAUUGUUCACAGUCAGUUACAGAUCUAACUCCUUGUUCUACUCUUUCCCCUCUUCUCACUAUAGCACUUGAUCAGUCUUUU
RNAcentral lists this Y RNA (113 nucleotides) under Propithecus coquereli (Coquerel's sifaka). RNAcentral describes it as "Y RNA (ENSPCOG00000008225.1)". It matches the Rfam family "Y RNA". From Rfam's summary of the family: Y RNAs are components of the Ro ribonucleoprotein particle (Ro RNP), in association with Ro60 and La proteins. Lineage: Eukaryota; Metazoa; Chordata; Mammalia; Primates; Indriidae. The record is from Rfam by way of RNAcentral.